ACGAACCGUGCGAACGUUGUUCGGAAUCACUGGGCUUAAAGGGCGCGUAGGCGGGCUGUCAAGUCUGGGGUGAAAUGCCGCGGCUCAACCGUGGAACUGCCUUAGAUACUGACGGCCUCGAGGAAGGUAGGGGCAUGCGGAACUGUAGGUGGAGCGGUGAAAUGCGUUGAUAUCUACAGGAACUCCGGUGGCGAAAGCGGCGUGCUGGACCUUUUCUGACGCUGAGGCGCGAAAGCUAGGGGAGCAAACGGGA
RNAcentral lists this ribosomal RNA (253 nucleotides) under uncultured prokaryote. RNAcentral describes it as "partial 16S ribosomal RNA". It matches the Rfam family "Bacterial small subunit ribosomal RNA", at positions 525 to 777 of the family's 1533-position model. The record is from RNAcentral.